UUUGAUGUGAAUUGAUUUAUGUUUGGAUGCACUCGCUUAAAAGUGAUUUUGAUGGGUUGAUGUUGUUUGGAUAG
MicroRNA precursor from Medicago truncatula (barrel medic), 74 nucleotides. It matches the Rfam family "MIR5272 microRNA precursor family". The record is from Rfam. NCBI's taxonomy places the organism in Eukaryota, Viridiplantae, Streptophyta, Magnoliopsida, Fabales, Fabaceae.